GUGAGGAAUUUUGCGCAAUGGGGGCAACCCUGACGCAGCGACGACGCGUGGAGGACGAAGUCUUUCGGGAUGUAAACUCCUGUCAGUGGGGACGAUAAUGACGGUACCCACAGAGGAAGCACCGGCUAACUCCGUGCCAGCAGCCGCGGUAAGACGGAGGGUGCAAGCGUUGUUCGGAAUUACUGGGCGUAAAGCGUAUGUAGGCGGCAAGUUAAGUUCAAUGUUAAAGCCCACGGCUCAACCGAGGAGAUGCAUUGAAUACUGGCUAGCUAGCGGGUGUUAGAGGAAGACGGAAUUCCCAGUGUAGCGGUGAAAUGCGUAGAUAUUGGGAGGAACAUCGGUAGCGAAAGCGGUCUUCUGGGACAUACCUGACGCUGAGGUACGAAAGCGUGGGGAGCAAACGGGAUUAGAAACCCCUGUAGUCC
This 425-nucleotide ribosomal RNA is filed under the name uncultured bacterium. Its description in RNAcentral is "partial 16S ribosomal RNA". It matches the Rfam family "Bacterial small subunit ribosomal RNA", at positions 354 to 796 of the family's 1533-position model. The record is from RNAcentral.